RNAcentral lists this ribosomal RNA (910 nucleotides) under Antarctic seawater bacterium COL-12. RNAcentral's name for it is "bacterial SSU rRNA". It matches the Rfam family "Bacterial small subunit ribosomal RNA", at positions 92 to 1003 of the family's 1533-position model. The record is from RNAcentral.
CGACCGGCGCACGGGUGCGUAACGCGUAUACAAUCUACCUUAUAGAGGGGGAUAGCCCAGAGAAAUUUGGAUUAAUACCCCAUAGUAUUAUAGAAUAGCAUUAUUUUAUGAUUAAACAUUUAUGGCUAUAAGAUGAGUAUGCGUUCUAUUAGCUAGAUGGUAAGGUAACGGCUUACCAUGGCUACGAUAGAUAGGGGUCCUGAGAGGGAGAUCCCCCACACUGGUACUGAGACACGGACCAGACUCCUACGGGAGGCAGCAGUGAGGAAUAUUGGACAAUGGGCGAGAGCCUGAUCCAGCCAUGCCGCGUGCAGGAAGACGGCCCUAUGGGUUGUAAACUGCUUUUAUACAGGAAGAAACACUCCCUCGUGAGGGAGCUUGACGGUACUGUAGGAAUAAGGAUCGGCUAACUCCGUGCCAGCAGCCGCGGUAAUACGGAGGAUCCAAGCGUUAUCCGGAAUCAUUGGGUUUAAAGGGUCCGUAGGCGGGACAAUAAGUCAGCGGUGAAAGUCUGUGGCUCAACCAUAGAAUUGCCAUUGAUACUGUUGUUCUUGAGUGUUUAUGAAGUGGUUAGAAUAUGUAGUGUAGCGGUGAAAUGCUUAGAUAUUACAUGGAAUACCGAUUGCGAAGGCAGAUCACUAAUAAAAUACUGACGCUGAUGGACGAAAGCGUAGGUAGCGAACAGGAUUAGAUACCCUGGUAGUCUACGCCGUAAACGAUGGUUACUAGCUGUUCGGAAGCAAUUCUGAGUGGCUAAGCGAAAGUGAUAAGUAACCCACCUGGGGAGUACGUUCGCAAGAAUGAAACUCAAAGGAAUUGACGGGGGCCCGCACAAGCGGUGGAGCAUGUGGUUUAAUUCGAUGAUACGCGAGGACCUUACCAGGGCUUAAAUGUAGCUUGACCGAUUUGG